UACGAAGGGGGCUAGCGUUGCUCGGAAUCACUGGGCGUAAAGGGUGCGUAGGCGGGUCUUUAAGUCAGGGGUGAAAUCCUGGAGCUCAACUCCAGAACUGCCUUUGAUACUGAGGAUCUUGAGUUCGGGAGAGGUGAGUGGAACUGCGAGUGUAGAGGUGAAAUUCGUAGAUAUUCGGAAGAACACCAGUGGCGAAGGCGGCUCACUGGCCCGUUACCGACGCUCAGGCGCGACAGCGUGGGGAGCAAACAGG
Molecule: ribosomal RNA, 253 nt
Filed under: uncultured bacterium
Lineage: Bacteria
Description: partial 16S ribosomal RNA
Rfam family: Bacterial small subunit ribosomal RNA
Source: RNAcentral